Molecule: long non-coding RNA, 256 nt
Filed under: Lathyrus oleraceus (garden pea)
Lineage: Eukaryota; Viridiplantae; Streptophyta; Magnoliopsida; Fabales; Fabaceae
Description: Pisum sativum (pea) long non-coding RNA (PSAT_LNC014039)
Source: RNAcentral
UUCUCCAUACAUAACCACAUAUAACCCACUCAUAUCUCCAACACUCCUCACCAAAAAAGGAAACAUGGUGACACACACCAUUCACAAACAUAAAUGUUCAACCUCACGUGAACCACCAACAACACGUCUUCGCACAUCUCCAAACUCCACUCACCACCUUAACUCACAAGAACCAUAUCCAACCCUCAUUUUCACUAUUAAACAAGCCCGCAUAUGAUUCAUACAAGGCCACGGUACACAAUAAAUUUGUUGUCAC